GCUCACUUUGGCAGCACAUACUAAAAUUGCGCAUGGCCCCUGCGCAAGGAUGACAUGCAAAUUCGUGAAGUGUUCCAUGCUUUU
This 84-nucleotide small nuclear RNA is filed under the name Nannospalax galili (Upper Galilee mountains blind mole rat). Lineage: Eukaryota; Metazoa; Chordata; Mammalia; Rodentia; Spalacidae. The record is from RNAcentral.